AUUGAACGCUGGCGGCAGGCCUAACACAUGCAAGUCGAGCGGAGCGGCGGACGGGUGAGUAAUGCCUAGGAAUCUGCCUGGUAGUGGGGGAUAAGGUCCGGAAACGGGCGCUAAUACCGCAUACUAUCAGAUGAGCUUUGGUCGGCUUAGCUAGUUGGUAGGGUAAAGGCCUACCAAGGUGACGAUCCGUAACUGGGCUGGGAGGAUGAUCAGUCACAGUGGAAUUGAGACACGGUCCGGAGUCCUACGGGGUGCAACAGUGGGGAAUAUUGGGCAAUGGUGGAAAACCUGAUCCAGCCAUGCCGCGUGUGUGAAGAAGGUAUUCGGAUUGUAAAGCACUUUAAGUUGAGAGGCGUUACCCACAGAAUAAGCACCGGCUAACUUCGUGCGAGCAGCCGCGGUAAUAC
RNAcentral lists this ribosomal RNA (407 nucleotides) under uncultured bacterium. RNAcentral describes it as "partial 16S ribosomal RNA". It matches the Rfam family "Bacterial small subunit ribosomal RNA", at positions 30 to 526 of the family's 1533-position model. The record is from RNAcentral.